RNAcentral lists this ribosomal RNA (253 nucleotides) under uncultured bacterium. Its description in RNAcentral is "partial 16S ribosomal RNA". It matches the Rfam family "Bacterial small subunit ribosomal RNA", at positions 524 to 776 of the family's 1533-position model. The record is from RNAcentral.
UACAGAGGUCUCAACCGUUGUUCGGAUUCAUUGGGCGUAAAGGGUGUGUAGGUGGCGCGCUAAGUCGGGUGUGAAAUUUUGGAGCUUAACUCCGAAACUGCAUUCGAUACUGGCGUGCUUGAGGACUGGAGAGGAGACUGGAAUUUACGGUGUAGCAGUGAAAUGCGUAGAUAUCGUAAGGAAGACCAGUGGCGAAGGCGGGUCUCUGGACAGUUCCUGACACUGAGACACGAAGGCCAGGGGAGCAAACGGG